Long non-coding RNA from Vigna angularis (adzuki bean), 521 nucleotides. RefSeq lists it as uncharacterized. Lineage: Eukaryota; Viridiplantae; Streptophyta; Magnoliopsida; Fabales; Fabaceae. The record is from RefSeq and is a predicted model, not a curated record. The transcript is spliced from 2 exons.
UGAGGCCCAAUGUUCUCUGGCCUUCAAACUAAAAACAUCAGCUUCUCCUAGAAGCUUCCUUUGGUCAGAAGGCAUAAUGAGUCUGAGAAUGGAUGUGCACGAGAGGAAAGAAAGAGCGAAGACUUCUCUGAAGCAAUACACAAGCGGGGUGACAAUGAAGCUUGUUCCAAUGGCUGUCCGGUGGGAGAGAAGGAGAAGAUUAAAGAAGUAGAGAAGAAAAGCUUGUAAUUGGAGGAAUCUCUCAUUUGCAGUGAAUUGUUCUCUCAACCAGGGAAUCUUGCUGCUAUCCAAUGCUGCAAAAGCGUGCCUCCACACAGUCAAACCUCCUCACAUGCCAAGCCACAGUAUUAUCCCUUGUGAUGGCACAGUGCAUUUGGUUGAAAGGAGUAAAAAAAAUGAAACCUAAUCACGUGAUAUGUGUACGUAUCUCAUGCACGCUUUUUUAAAUUAUCGUUGAAUUAUUGUAAAAGCACAGGAGUAGAUACGAGUUUUCACUACAAAUCAGCGCAAAUCUUUGCUCA